UGGGGAAUAUUGGACAAUGGGCGAAAGCCUGAUCCAGCCAUGCCGCGUGAGUGAUGAAGGCCCUAGGGUUGUAAAGCUCUUUUGUGCGGGAAGAUAAUGACGGUACCGCAAGAAUAAGCCCCGGCUAACUUCGUGCCAGCAGCCGCGGUAAUACGAAGGGGGCUAGCGUUGCUCGGAAUCACUGGGCGUAAAGGGUGCGUAGGCGGGUUUCUAAGUCAGAGGUGAAAGCCUGGAGCUCAACUCCAGAACUGCCUUUGAUACUGGAAGUCUUGAGUUCGGGAGAGGUGAGUGGACUGCGAGUGUAGAGGUGAAAUUCGUAGAUAUUCGCAAGAACACCAGUGGCGAAGGCGGCUCACUGGCCCGAUACUGACGCUGAGGCACGAAGGCGUGGGGAGCAAACA
RNAcentral lists this ribosomal RNA (401 nucleotides) under uncultured bacterium. Its description in RNAcentral is "bacterial SSU rRNA". It matches the Rfam family "Bacterial small subunit ribosomal RNA", at positions 355 to 774 of the family's 1533-position model. The record is from RNAcentral.